UAUAAGACUGGGAUAACUUCGGGAAACCGGAGCUAAUACCGGAUAACAUUUAGAACCGCAUGGUUCUAAAGUGAAAGAUGGUUUUGCUAUCACUUAUAGAUGGACCCGCGCCGUAUUAGCUAGUUGGUAAGGUAACGGCUUACCAAGGCGACGAUACGUAGCCGACCUGAGAGGGUGAUCGGCCACACUGGAACUGAGACACGGUCCAGACUCCUACGGGAGGCAGCAGUAGGGAAUCUUCCGCAAUGGGCGAAAGCCUGACGGAGCAACGCCGCGUGAGUGAUGAAGGGUUUCGGCUCGUAAAACUCUGUUAUUAGGGAAGAACAAAUGUGUAAGUAACUGUGCACAUCUUGACGGUACCUAAUCAGAAAGCCACGGCUAACUACGUGCCAGCAGCCGCGGUAAUACGUAGGUGGCAAGCGUUACCCGGAAUUAUUGGGCGUAAAGCGCGCGUAGGCGGUUUCUUAAGUCUGAUGUGAAAGCCCACGGCUCAACCGUGGAGGGUCAUUGGAAACUGGGAAACUUGAGUGCAGAAGAGGAAAGUGGAAUUCCAUGUGUAGCGGUGAAAUGCGCAGAGAUAUGGAGGAACACCAGUGGCGAAGGCGACUUUCUGGUCUGUAACUGACGCUGAUGUGCGAAAGCGUGGGGAUCAAACAGGAUUAGAUACCCUGGUAGUCCACGCCGUAAACGAUGAGUGCUAAGUGUUAGGGGGUUUCCGCCCCUUAGUGCUGCAGCUAACGCAUUAAGCACUCCGCCUGGGGAGUACGACCGCAGGUUGAAACUCAGAG
RNAcentral lists this ribosomal RNA (788 nucleotides) under uncultured Staphylococcus sp. RNAcentral's name for it is "bacterial SSU rRNA". It matches the Rfam family "Bacterial small subunit ribosomal RNA", at positions 131 to 906 of the family's 1533-position model. Lineage: Bacteria; Bacillati; Bacillota; Bacilli; Caryophanales; Staphylococcaceae. The record is from RNAcentral.